UACAGAUGGUGCGAGCGUUGUCCGGAAUCACUGGGCGUAAAGGGCGCGUAGGUGGCGCGACAAGUCAGUGGUGAAAGCUCGACGCUCAACGUCGAGUCGGCCACUGAUACUGUUGGGCUUGAGCACUGUAGAGGCUAAUGGAAUUCCGGGUGUAGCGGUGGAAUGCGUAGAGAUCCGGAAGAACACCGGUGGCGAAGGCGGUUAGCUGGGCAGUUGCUGACACUGAGGCGCGACAGCGUGGGGAGCAAACAGG
RNAcentral lists this ribosomal RNA (253 nucleotides) under uncultured bacterium. RNAcentral's name for it is "partial 16S ribosomal RNA". It matches the Rfam family "Bacterial small subunit ribosomal RNA", at positions 524 to 776 of the family's 1533-position model. The record is from RNAcentral.